UCUAUCAAGCUUGCCGCUGUUACAUAUACCUUUCAUGUGAAAUAUGCUGCAGAGUACCGUCACCAUGCAUUUUGUAGACGACUUGAUGAUGGCAUCUUACCAUCUUGGCUAUGUUCUGGAGUUCUCAGGUAUCUCGAUGUAUCCCAGGUAUCUCUCUCAUCAUAUAUUGAUACUACUGAAACUAAAUUGCCCUUCAUAAAAUUCUAUAAACUAGAAUGGAAAUGUUAAUUAUCGAGAUCAAUUACUCUGGAGUUCUCAGACUGAAAAUAGGCUCAUGAAUCAUAAACAAUUAAUGUCAGAACUCAAAACACCCCAUAUAACCAAGUUUUUGUUUCUACAAUAAUUGCAGUUUUGUAUCUUUUGUUUCACAAUUUUACCUGGUUGGAUUUCUGUUUUUGUUUAUCUAGGAUAUGAACCAAAGGAAGAUAAUUUAUUGUGCUAUGUUGUCCUUUUUCAUAUCGGCUUCUUGUCACUCUUUUUUUGGUAGGUAUUUAUACUGCAUGAACUUCAUUUGUAUUAUAUUUUUGGUAAUUAAUCCUCCCAGGUAUACAAUUUUCUCAAGCAAGUGCAUGUAGCCAUAGGCUCAUAAGUGUUUGUUUCUAUUAUUUUUAUCAAUUCAGUUGAAAAAUAAUGACUUCUUUGAUAUCUCCCCUGUUUAUAAGUGUAUCAUGCAGGUAGGGUAAACAUCUUCGUGGUCUCUUUUCUGUGGUCUGUGGUUGUAGGUUUAAAUUGAUGCAUUCAUGCUAAAAAGAUAAAAAUUGGUCCCUCUAUAUACAGGUGAACUGUAGAGAAGUAUUUCACAUGGCGCUGGCUUUAUGGAAGUAACACCCAGAUAAAGGAGAUCAAUUAUAGGGUGGGAUGAUGUUCUUUCUUGCUAUAUUCUCAACUGAGCAUCAUACAAAGAUACAAUAUUCGAAAACUGAAAUAUUUUGAACGGUGCUUACAUUAUUGAGAAUCAAAAUGAGACCCAAUUUUUUAUUAUUCUUUGCUUUCCUACGUUCAUAUAUAUAAUCAAUAGUUUGGUGGCGUAAUGAAGUGUGGCUUAUUAUGCAAAUUAGUUCAGGCAAAAACAAUUGUUAGUUCUGAGAAAAGCUAAUAUGAUGUGUCGUUACUCCAAUGUAGGUUGGCAUGUCUGCGCACUUCGCCGAUUGUCUACUUUAUUUGCAGCGUGUAAUGCGAUUUGUUUAGGGGCUCUUAUCCGCCUCUGGUUAUAGACGGAGUAACAAACAUGGUUGAUUGUUAUUUCUUUCCUUUAAUAGGUAUGGAACACUACGCCUGUGUCAAUUAUGUAUAGCCAUAUGUUCUUAUUUCGUCUUCUCACAUCUGGAAGUACAAUAUUAAGGACCGGAAAAUAGAGAGGAUCUAGGAAGCCGCCGAUUUUGUGCAGCAGGACAGGCAUUUUGUCCUCGUAGGCAACCGUCCUUUCACGAUCAUCGAGCUUCUGUCGAGCUACACCAUCAGCCAUCCGGGAUUCUGAACUGGCUUUACAGCUGACCACAUGAGGCGCUGAUGAACUGGGUGACAUUUGGGCCUAUCGUAUGCAUUGCUAAGAAAUGGUUCCUGUUUUAUAGUUUUUUAUUAUUAUUUUGGUUAUGCCUUGACUUGUUGAUGGCAAGACUCUAGGUGGUAUCUUUCGUCAUGGGAUUACUGUUAGCUAUCUUAAUUAGGACAUGAUAUGUACCCAAUGCUCCACUAUGUUGACGCUACUCCCUCUGUAACUUAAUAUAAGGCGUUUUUGAUUCUUUCAUAGACUCUAAGAACGUCCUGUAAAAAGCUACAGAGGUAGUAUCUUUCUGCAUUAGAGAGUUUCAG
RNAcentral lists this long non-coding RNA (1812 nucleotides) under Triticum aestivum (bread wheat). RNAcentral describes it as "long non-coding RNA (TAES_LNC006638)". Lineage: Eukaryota; Viridiplantae; Streptophyta; Magnoliopsida; Poales; Poaceae. The record is from RNAcentral.